This 309-nucleotide ribosomal RNA is filed under the name uncultured bacterium. RNAcentral's name for it is "partial 16S ribosomal RNA". It matches the Rfam family "Bacterial small subunit ribosomal RNA", at positions 504 to 808 of the family's 1533-position model. The record is from RNAcentral.
AGAGACAGCAGUAGCGCGGGAAUACAGAGGGUGCGAGCGUUAAUCGGAUUUACUGGGCGUAAAGCGUGCGUAGGCGGCUUCUUAAGUCGGAUGUGAAAUCCCUGAGCUUAACUUAGGAAUUGCAUUCGAUACUGGGAAGCUAGAGUAUGGGAGAGGAUGGUAGAAUUCCAGGUGUAGCGGUGAAAUGCGUAGAGAUCUGGAGGAAUACCGAUGGCGAAGGCAGCCAUCUGGCCUAAUACUGACGCUGAGGUACGAAAGCAUGGGGAGCAAACAGGAUUAGAUACCCCCGUAGUCCCUGUCUCUUAUACA